RNAcentral lists this ribosomal RNA (678 nucleotides) under Bacillus sp. (in: firmicutes). RNAcentral's name for it is "bacterial SSU rRNA". It matches the Rfam family "Bacterial small subunit ribosomal RNA", at positions 81 to 742 of the family's 1533-position model. Lineage: Bacteria; Bacillati; Bacillota; Bacilli; Caryophanales; Bacillaceae. The record is from RNAcentral.
CUCUUAUGAAGUUAGCGGCGGACGGGCUGAGUAACACGUGGGUAACCUGCCCAUAAGACUGGGAUAACUCCGGGAAACCGGGGCUAAUACCGGAUAACAUUUUGAACCGCAUGGUUCGAAAUUGAAAGGCGGCUUCGGCUGUCACUUAUGGAUGGACCCGCGUCGCAUUAGCUAGUUGGUGAGGUAACGGCUCACCAAGGCAACGAUGCGUAGCCGACCUGAGAGGGUGAUCGGCCACACUGGGACUGAGACACGGCCCAGACUCCUACGGGAGGCAGCAGUAGGGAAUCUUCCGCAAUGGACGAAAGUCUGACGGAGCAACGCCGCGUGAGUGAUGAAGGCUUUCGGGUCGUAAAACUCUGUUGUUAGGGAAGAACAAGUGCUAGUUGAAUAAGCUGGCACCUUGACGGUACCUAACCAGAAAGCCACGGCUAACUACGUGCCAGCAGCCGCGGUAAUACGUAGGUGGCAAGCGUUAUCCGGAAUUAUUGGGCGUAAAGCGCGCGCAGGUGGUUUCUUAAGUCUGAUGUGAAAGCCCACGGCUCAACCGUGGAGGGUCAUUGGAAACUGGGAGACUUGAGUGCAGAAGAGGAAAGUGGAAUUCCAUGUGUAGCGGUGAAAUGCGUAGAGAUAUGGAGGAACACCAGUGGCGAAAGGCGACUUUCUGGUCUGUAACUG